RNAcentral lists this ribosomal RNA (529 nucleotides) under uncultured eukaryote. RNAcentral describes it as "bacterial SSU rRNA". It matches the Rfam family "Eukaryotic small subunit ribosomal RNA", at positions 244 to 772 of the family's 1831-position model. The record is from RNAcentral.
AGGCGAGUUUCUGUUCGCGGCAAGCUUAAGCCGGUAGGUGUAGGCGCAGCGAAAGCGAGUCUGAACAGGGCGUUCAGUCGCCGGCGGGGUAGAGGCCCGCCGCGGUAACGACGGGUAACGGGGAAUCAGGGUUCGAUUCCGGAGAGGGGAGCCCGAGAAACGGCUACCACUUCCAAGGAAGGCAGCAGGCGCGCAACUUACCCUAAUCUCGAUUCGAGGAGGUAGUGACAAGAAAUACCGAUGCGGGGACCCCUACGGGGUGCCGCGUUCGGAAUGAGUACGAUUCGAACCACCUAACGAGGAACGAUCGGAGGGCAAGUCUGGUGCCAGCAGCCGCGGUAAUUCCAGCUCCAAUAGCGUACGUUAAAGUUGCUGCAGUUAAAAAGCUCGUAGUUGAACGUUCGGGUUCCGCGGGACGGGGCCGCCCCGCGAGGGACGGCGCCGCCCCGGGGCUCGUGAUAUCUCAUCUCGCCGCCCGUCGCGAGGCGGACGGAGGGAUGGAUGAGGUUACCUGGAAAAAAAUCGGGGC